Molecule: long non-coding RNA, 1815 nt
Filed under: Salmo salar (Atlantic salmon)
Lineage: Eukaryota; Metazoa; Chordata; Actinopteri; Salmoniformes; Salmonidae
Description: lncRNA (ENSSSAG00000109625.1)
Source: RNAcentral
CACAGAGGAGAGAGCCCACGCAGGGCGCAUUGUGUCGAGAUCAGCCCCUAGCGACGGUGUUAUAAGGAAUUCAAAACGAAGCACCCCUCUUCGCAAAAAUAUUGCUCGUGACAGGCGUUGCAUGCGCAAUGAACGGUUUUGCUGUUGAUUCCAAGUAGCCUACAGUAUAAAAUGAGUCCGCGUCAUUCCCUGACAUCUUCCUUCGAGAGAGGGCUGGAAUCUCAGUUCCUGGCUAUUGUCAGCCUUGGAAGGAGGAGCCUCUAAAACGGAGACAGGCUGCUGUGGAAAAAGGAUUGUUGACCCUCCCCACCCUGCUCAUUCCCUGAGGACCCGCCCUGUUGCUGGUUGGGUGUCGCUACUCGCUCUGCCUGGUGGUGGCCCUUAGGAGAUUUGAGUCUCGUGCACCUACACACACCCGCUGCGUACAGGUACAUUCAGGUACAUUCAGAUUUAAUUGCUCAGUGGUUGCAUCACUGUGGCACAUAAACAUGGAUUGUACUGUAAGAAUUGGCUAGACAUUGGGAGACAUGGUUUAUCUAUUGUUACCAUAAGAGUUUACACAGAUCACAGCUGAUAUGAUUGUUAUUCAUAGCCCUUGUUGGUAUUGUAAUGUACUGUAUCAGUAUCAGACUCUUACAUCAAUUAGAGUAAGUGUGUGUGGUGACAAGUCAAUUCAAGGCCAUUACAAUCCUGGCCCACACACUUGGAGCAGACAGAGGGUUCUGCCUGCUGAUGAGAGUGCAGCAAUAUUAGUGCUGAAGUCAGUGCUGCAUAAGCAGGGGAGAUUAAAUGUGACCGUCAAUAAAUUGUGUCAAUUGACAGUUAGUUAUUCUUUCCUGCAUGGAUUUCAUGGAUUGAUUUGAGUUGUGGUAAAGAUGAGAUAACUUUGAAUAAACAAUUCAGCGUAAUAAUCUAACAAUGUGUGACCCAUAUUCAUUUCAUGUGUGACAAGAGGAGAAUUGUUCAUGUUGUUUCCAAUGAAGAUAUCACAGAACGUUAUUGCACAUCUUAAAAUACAGCCUAAGUGAUUUAGGGCAAUGAGUCUCUGUAGCUUCACAGAACAAAAAUAUAAACGCAACAUGCAACAAUUUUGAGUUACAUUUCAUAUAAGGAAAUCAGUCAAUUGAAAUAAAUAAUUUAGGCCCUAAUCUAUGGAUUUCACAUUACUGGAAAUACAGCUAUGGAUCUGUUGGUCACAGAUACAGUACCUUUAAAAACAAGCUAGGGGCGUGGAUCAGAAAACCAGUCAGCAUUUGGUGUGACCUUCAUUUGCCUCAUGCAGCGCAACACAUCUCCUUGGCAUAGAGUUGAUCAGGCUGUUGAUUGUGGUCUGUGGAAUGUUGUCCCACUCCUCUUUAAUGGCUGUACGAAGUUGUUGGAUAUUGGCGGGAACUGGAACACGCUGUUGUACAUGCUGAUCCAGAGUAUCCCAAACAUGCUUAAUGGGUGACAUGUCUGUUGAGUAUGCAGGCCUUGGAAGAACAGGGAAAUGUUCAGAUUCCAGGAAUUGUGUACAGAUCCUUGCAACAUGGGGCCGUGCAUUAUCAUGGUGAAACAUGAGGGGAUGGCGGCGUAUGAAUGCCACGACAAUGGGCCUCAGGAUCUUGUCACGGUAUCUCUCAAAUUGCCAUCGAUAAAAUGCAAUUGUGUUCGUUGUCCGUAGCUUAUGCCUGCCCAUACCAUAACCCCACUGCCACCAUGGGGCACUCUGUUCACAACGUUGACAUCAGAAAACCGCUCACCCACACAACGCCAUACAUGCUGUCUGCCAUCUCCCCGGUACAGUUGAAACCGGGAUUUAUCUGUGAAGAGCAC